RNAcentral lists this long non-coding RNA (1294 nucleotides) under Zea mays. RNAcentral's name for it is "long non-coding RNA (ZMAY_LNC001069)". The record is from RNAcentral. Lineage: Eukaryota; Viridiplantae; Streptophyta; Magnoliopsida; Poales; Poaceae.
CUUCAAUGAGCUCCUACUCAGCAACUUCUACCUGCUGAACACCCGGAUCCUCAGCCACUAGCUCUUCUACUCGCCACAAUACAAACAAGCAUAGUACAAAGAGGAAAUUAACAUCACACCAAACAUGUAUACAAAAUACAUAUUAAUAAUCUACAUAUUAAAAUGAGAUCAUAGAAAAAAAAAUCAUUAAAUUUGGAGUUAUGGAUUUUAAGUUAUGAAUUUCUAAAGGUUUUAUAUGUUUGGUACAAGAUUAAUUAAGAGAUCAAUUUUAAUACAAUUUUCAUGUUAAAACAGUGUCACAAUGUCAUAGUCCAUAUUAAUACAAAAUUAUAGGAACUGGAAUGAACCAAUUUGGACUUAGUAUGAAUUUUCUAGGAAUUAAAUAAGUUUCUGCAAUUAUUUCUAUAUUCACAAAUCAAUUUAUAAAUAAUUUCUCUGAUUUACCUAGUCACUAGAAUGCGCGCGUGAAUAAAAAAACCCAGGGGCUAGCGUGUAAAGUACCCAAGACUCAGUCCACACCCAGGUGGACUGCGGGUUGAAACCUAAAUACCUCGGGGGCUCUUAUUCAAAAUUUCCAGACCGAGCGCUUAUGGGUUCUCCACACCGUCCUAUCAAAGUCACACGACGCAGAUUAGAUCACAUUAUAAACGAAGCGGUACGCGUCUCACAGCAGUUGGAUUAUGGAUCAGCGGCGCCGAUUUUAUAACUGAAGGGUGACAUUCUGAUCUAAUCUCAUCCCUCGAUCCUACGAUCUACGGACUAAUAUGGUCCAACCGAAUCGGUACGCAGUGUGUAAUCACCGCCGUCCAUUCUUAGAUCGAUGGCCACCGCACUGUCGUCUCCCUCCUGCCGGUAUGCAUACGCGCCGCCCCCAACACUCACCGACGUUCCGCCGCGGCAAGCGAUUCCACGACCCGGCCCUCUACUUCGACCCCCGAUUUAUGAAAACUACUGCGGAUAUGGUGAGGAAGGUACUAGGCUAGGACGUACCGGUUAAUUUGGUGCCCAAAACAGCCGGCCACGGCCGACCACAAAUCCGCCGCGUGAAUUACUCCGGCGACGAAUUAACUGUAUUCUGAAGACCGACACUCAUGGCGGCUAGACUACUGAAGACCCGCGUGCUUCCGCGAACCCCAAUUGUGACUUCCCCGAACCAGGACGGCGGCGUUCCGAGGAAAUGACGCGGCAGCUACCCUCUUUCUCUCUCUCUCUCUCUCUCUUCGCUGUCUCUCUACUGAUGCGGAUAGCAGUGACCUAGGGGUCUCAUGGGUCUAGGAUUUAGAUGCGCAGGGUC